Molecule: long non-coding RNA, 4017 nt
Organism: Apus apus (common swift)
Lineage: Eukaryota; Metazoa; Chordata; Aves; Apodiformes; Apodidae
Exons: 3
Source: RefSeq, a predicted model, not a curated record
CGAGCAGUGCGCACGCGCCGGGGGCGGCCACGCUCCUGGCCGCGGCCGCUGGAACUUUCUGGAAAUGGCGGCGGCCCGGCUGCGCGGCGCCUGGUGGCGGGGCAGGGGCGGGAGCGGGCAGGUGAGAGCUCUCCAGCUCCCGCACGGCUGGAACGGGACUGAAGCCCCGGGCGCGAUGCCCCCUUCCCUAGUCGCGCCGGCGGCCGCCCCCUCCCCGGGGAGGGGUUUUCCGGCGGCGAUGGCGCAGUGAGUUUUAAGAGCCAGCGCACUGCGCUUGCGCGGUAGGCGCAGCCCGGUGGCGGCUGCGCACCCAGGUGAGGCGGGUGCGGCGGGGACCGGGCAGAGGCGGUCACGGAGGGGCGGUCACGGAGGGGCGGCUGGCCGCGCUGCGGUGGCUGCCGCCUCUGUUGCCCGGGCACGUACGCCGGGGCUGAGUGUUGCGUGCCGGCAGUCAGAGGGUCCGUAGCUUUUGGGAGACGCCGCUGGACGCAGGUGCGUGUGGCGCGGUGCCGGAGAGCCCGGUGGACGUUCGGGGCACCCGCGUAGAGAGGCUGGGGGAGGAGGAGUCCGGCGCGUCUGGUGGCCCGGUCAGCGAGCUCUGCCUCCCGCGCUUCGCUGCGGCCGGAGGCAGAGUCGCCGUCGGCGCCCUCCCGCCGCUCUCCCGGAGGUUCCCGUCCCGGCGGGCGCCGCCAAUGCAGGCGGAGAGCGGCAGGGCACGGCCCGCCCUUUGAAUCUUGGGGCUGCUUAUAGUUACUAAAGAAACAACCACAAAACCUAUACGUUUUAAGGGUGUCUUACCUGUACCAGUAAGCCAGGUGCCAUAUAUAUGCAUCAAACGGGGUUACAGAAGCAGACUGAUGUUAGUGCUAGUUGCAGUGCUAAACACUAGUCAUUUGUGAAAGGCUGUGCAUCUAUUUAUUAAAAUGGUAUGUGGUAAGACUUUUAAGAAUCUGUGUGGUUUUGUACUCGUGGGUUCUCAAGUAAUACAGAUUGCCUCAGUAAGGUGUUGGGGAUAGUAGUAUUGUGGCUAUCGCAUGUAGCAUUUUGAGAGGGCAGCAAAACAAAAACCUGCUGUUUGAGGUAGUAUGAUUGCCAGCCACGCUAAGUCUGUUUUUGGAUGAGUUUCAUCUGCUAUUAUGUAGAAAGCAAGAACUCCUAAUAUUUACUAUGCAAGUCAGAAAUGUGAAUUUUUCAGAACUAAAAAAUUAGUUUGAUUAAGGCCAUCUAAUUGUGUGGAUUUCCCCAGUAUUCUGAUCUCCACGCACCACGUUUCAGCAUGUGUAGAGGAUAGCAUGGCAAAUCUCAAAUAUUCCCAUGCUGCACAGCAGCUUAUUGUUUAGGCAGAGUUCUCUCACUUGCUUUCAAAAUCUUACUGUACAAAUGCUGGUACAGAUAAUUCAUGCUGUAAAGCAACUGCCCUUGUUCUUACUUGGUUCUGUUAGGAUACCUUGAGUACUGUCAGCUGCCCAGGAGCAGGUAUGGUGGCACCCAUCACUACAUAACAAAGGGAGUUGUAUUCACUUAAUGUUCUUUCAGGUCAGGUUGAUUACAGAGGACAUCACUUGACAUGGCAAGCAGACUGAAGAGUAGACAGGCUAUAGACUGCCAGCAUAAGUGGAGUAAGAACUAUUUCCCAAGGCAGUGUUAAUUUUUUUCUCACAAUUUCAUAUAGGGACAUUAGGGAUUAUUUGAAAGGUUGCAGGUGCAGUGCAGCAGUGUAAUACUACAUUCUGAUCCUAGUGCAUCAGCACCAGCAGCAUGCAGUUCCAGGAUUUCAGUGUGUGCUGGCAGACACUCUAAACCAGCAGCUGAGAUAAUGGAAGGAAGCUCAUGAGCAACACACCUUCUGCAGCAGAUGUUAAGAUUUGAUGAUAAUUAUUUGUUGGGAACAAAAAAAUAGGGUUCCUUAAGCCUUUUUUAAGAACUGCUGUUUGGACUAGUAAAAAACAUCAGUCAGUUGAUCGCUAAUUGCUACCCCUACAUUAGUUUCUUCCUCUUGUCUCCAGAUGCCGCUCUCUUUUACAUAGCACAGCUGCAGAAAGCCUUUGUGCUGCAUUGGUGUCCAUAGUAUUUUCCUUGAUCUGCCUUCCCUAGUGAAACACUGUGUGUUACCAGCUGUGUGAACUGCUGAUCUUGCUGGAGACAAACAUGGACAGCAUCUGGUUGAACUGUGUCACUGCUGAAUUUAGUCUAGUGAUUGAAUGACAAAAAAUCUGCAAAAUGUCACGCUGGUGAAAGCACAAGUGUCCUCAGGUAAUCAGCAGGUCAGCCUAUGAAUGCAGCCAACGUACUGCACAGGUGGAGUUGAAUUUCAUUGUUUUUCCCUUUUUAAUGACACAACACAGGUCCAGAUAACAUUUUUCUAGUGGUGUGAAGGUAAUGGAAAUCCUUGCUGUUAUCCAACAUUAUCCAAAUGCGUAAUUCUAUCUAGGAGAGUUUCCUAUUACUCCAAGCUUUCUCCAUCUUUACCAAAGGAAAGAACAACCACCACCACUCCCAGUCCAGUGGAUUCUUUGUGUGUCCCCUGCUUGUGUGUUCUAAAUGGUAUUUCUUUUCCCAAGAUUGUGUCUAUUUUUCUUAAAACCUCUACUAGGUUGUUUGUUUUUCCCCAGUUAAAGGGCAUUUUUUUUUCUUUUUUCCACUUGGUAACCCUUUGCUAUUGAGGAUUGAGAAUAAUGGAAAUUAUAUCCUGUUAAUACUUGCUACUUGAAGCUAUUAAAGAAUACAAGAGAGGACUUGGAUAUAUUAAUAAGUCUUUUAACACUAUUCUAGAACUCUUCCAUAGUGAUCACUUUGUUAAUCCUAACAGUCCCACAUAAACUAGCAUUGUGAAAAUAAUUCUGUAUUUUGUAAACAACUACACGUAAUAAUUACUGCAGAAUAUGUAUUUCUAGUUGAGGUGUUUGGUUUGAAAUAUUCAACUUUAAACCCUAAAACAACACAAGAUGUGAUUUUUUCUUUAAUAAUUUAUCUUAAUACAGCAAUUGCCAAUUUUUUUAAUGUAGAAACUGGGAUCAUAAAGCCUAGUGUAAUUGAUUAAUAAAACAGGGAAGAUGAUAGAGUAAUGGUUAUUUGCUAAUUUCUCUUCAAAUAUUUGUCCUAUAGCUGCCCUACAAUACGCAAUUUAAUUGUAAACAGUGGUGUGUUGCAAUAAGGAUAAUGUAAAUUACCCUUUUCUAGUGAAGUGAUUGGUAAGACUGUUACAUCAGAAUGACUGACAUACUUGUCUGUGGAACAUCACUAACAUGAUCGCCAACUGUUGAGCUCCAUCUUCUGCUCAAAAGACAGACAUCAGGAACUACCUGAAAGAACAUUGGAAAGAGGCAGAAAUACCAACAUCAACAUCACUUAUUCAGCUUAUUCAUCACUUAUUCAUCAAGGAACUUCACAGACCCUACUGAAAUAAAGGUUGGCCAGACAAAAGUGAUGUUGAUCCCAGUCAUACCAAAGGCAGUAUCCAAUUUUAUCAGUCACAUUUUUGUUAAAGAUACUUCCUUGUGUUUAGAAACUGUUUUAAGAUUUUAGAAACAGUAUUUAAGAAACAAUAAGAACAGGUAACACCCAAGUCAAACAAAUUCUUCCAUUCACACAAACAUAGCUGUAGUUGAGAUAACAAAGAACAGUGGGAAAUCACAAACAGGAACAGUUCAGAAAUAACAACCCUUUCACAAACUCACAACCUUUCUGUUUUUUACCAGAAAUUGAAAAAAUCCAAAAAGCCAAUGGGCACUUUUUGAUUGACAUGAUCUAGACACUAAUCUUAACAGGGGGUAUCAUUCCCCUAUUAGGUACUAAGCCAAAUCAGAAGAGAUGUUUCAUGUUUCAUGCUCCUCCCUAGUCAAUCAUCAAGAACAUGAAAGUUCUUCCCAGCCCCUUUUGUCUUUGAAUAUAUAGAAAGGCAUUGAAUAUAUGCCAUUCUGUUAAGAAAAUUAAUGUUUUUAGCUGUAGGUUGGGAACUCAAAUAAUGGGAACAGGAAUUUAGUUGGCCAUUGUUAUGCAAAUAUAGCAUACCGUGGG